This 520-nucleotide ribosomal RNA is filed under the name uncultured Glomus. RNAcentral's name for it is "SSU rRNA". It matches the Rfam family "Eukaryotic small subunit ribosomal RNA", at positions 569 to 1090 of the family's 1831-position model. Lineage: Eukaryota; Fungi; Glomeromycota; Glomeromycetes; Glomerales; Glomeraceae. The record is from RNAcentral.
AGCAGCCGCGGUAAUUCCAGCUCCAAUAGCGUAUAUUAAAGUUGUUGCAGUUAAGAAGCUCGUAGUUGAAUUUCGGGAUCGACGGGUCGGUCGCGCCUCUGGUGUGUACUGGCCCUGUCGGUUUCUCCCUUCUGACGAACCACGAUGUCAUUAAUUUGGUGUCGUGGGAAAUCAGGACUGUUACUUUGAAAAAAUUAGAGUGUUUAAAGCAGGCAUUCGCUUGAAUACAUUAGCAUGGAAUAAUGAAAUAGGACGUUUGAUCUUAUUUUGUUGGUUUCUAAGAUCGACGUAAUGAUUAAUAGGGAUAGUUGGGGGCAUUAGUAUUCAAUUGUCAGAGGUGAAAUUCUUGGAUUUAUUGAAGACUAACUACUGCGAAAGCAUUUGCCAAGGAUGUUUUCAUUAAUCAAGAACGAAAGUUAGGGGAUCGAAGACGAUCAGAUACCGUCGUAGUCUUAACCAUAAACUAUGCCGACUAGGGAUCGGAUGAUGUUAAUUUUUUAAUGACUCAUUCGGCGCCUUA